CACGUAGGAUCCGAGCGUUAUCCGAAUUUACUGGGCGUAAAGCGCGUGCAGGCGGUUUGGUAAGUUGGACGUGAAAUCUCCCGGCUCAACUGGGAGGGGUCGUUCAAGACAGCCAGACUAGAGGGCAGUAGAGGGAGGUGGAAUUCCCGGUGUAGUGGUGAAAUGCGUAGAUAUUGGGAGGAACACCAGUGGCGAAAGCGGCCUCCUGGGCUGCACCUGACGCUCAGACGCGAAAGCUAGGGGAGCGAACGGG
RNAcentral lists this ribosomal RNA (253 nucleotides) under uncultured bacterium. RNAcentral's name for it is "partial 16S ribosomal RNA". It matches the Rfam family "Bacterial small subunit ribosomal RNA", at positions 524 to 776 of the family's 1533-position model. The record is from RNAcentral.